UGGUGGAGUGAUUUGUCUGCUUAAUUGCGAUAACGAACGAGACCUUGACCUGCUAAAUAGCCCGUAUUGCUUUGGCAGUACGCUGGCUUCUUAGAGGGACUUUCGGCUCAAGCCGAAGGAAGUUCGAGGCAAUAACA
RNAcentral lists this ribosomal RNA (137 nucleotides) under uncultured eukaryote. Its description in RNAcentral is "partial 18S ribosomal RNA". It matches the Rfam family "Eukaryotic small subunit ribosomal RNA", at positions 1299 to 1458 of the family's 1831-position model. The record is from RNAcentral.